CCUACGGGGUGCAGCAGUGAGGAAUAUUGGUCAAUGGGCGGAAGCCUGAACCAGCCAAGUAGCGUGCAGGAUGACGGCCCUACGGUUUGUAAACUGCUUUUAUACGGGAAUAACGCCCCUUACGUGUAGGGCUUUGCAUGUACCGUUUGAAUAAGGACCGGCUAAUUCCGUGCCAGCAGCCGCGGUAAUACGGAAGGUCCGGGCGUUAUCCGGAUUUAUUGGGUUUAAAGGGAGCGUAGGCCGCAUGUCAAGCGUGCUGUGAAAUGUCCGGGCUCAACCCGGGCCUUGCAGCGCGAACUGGCGUGCUCGAGUCCGCGGAAAGCAGGCGGAAUUCGUCGUGUAGCGGUGAAAUGCUUAGAUAUGACGAAGAACCCCGAUUGCGAAGGCAGCUUGCUGCAGCGGAACUGACGCUGAUGCUCGAAAGCGCGGGUAUCGAACAGGAUUAGAUACCCCUGUAGUC
This 460-nucleotide ribosomal RNA is filed under the name uncultured bacterium. RNAcentral describes it as "partial 16S ribosomal RNA". It matches the Rfam family "Bacterial small subunit ribosomal RNA", at positions 338 to 795 of the family's 1533-position model. The record is from RNAcentral.